GGAGAGGUGGCCGAGUGGCUUAAGGCAGCGGUUUGCUAAACCGCCAUACGGUUGUAAAGCCGUAUCGGGAGUUCGAAUCUCCCCUUCUCCG
RNAcentral lists this transfer RNA (91 nucleotides) under bacterium. RNAcentral describes it as "tRNA-Ser". It matches the Rfam family "tRNA". Rfam says of the family: Transfer RNA (tRNA) molecules are approximately 80 nucleotides in length. Their secondary structure includes four short double-helical elements and three loops (D, anti-codon, and T loops). Further hydrogen bonds mediate the characteristic L-shaped molecular structure. tRNAs have two regions of fundamental functional importance: the anti-codon, which is responsible for specific mRNA codon recognition, and the 3' end, to which the tRNAs corresponding amino acid is attached (by aminoacyl-tRNA synthetases). tRNAs cope with the degeneracy of the genetic code in two manners: having more than one tRNA (with a specific anti-codon) for a particular amino acid; and 'wobble' base-pairing, i.e. permitting non-standard base-pairing at the 3rd anti-codon position. The record is from RNAcentral.